AAGACCACUAUAAUACUAAUUGAUACAAUAUUAAUGAUGUUUAUCUCCUAGUCCUAGCAAACGAAGCCCCUGUACAGGCCCAAUCGAGCUACGUGUAUACACCAAUGAAUCGAUAAAUUAAAACCAAGCAGCCGGACGUGAGCUGCAGUUGGGACAAAAAGAAACAGAAACGGGAACCAGUCAACAACAGUCGUGGAAAUUCGAAUGAAAAAACCUGAGUUCUAGGCACUCCUGGUAAUAAAAAAAGACCAAGAAUCAUCGAACGCAUCAGCUCGCUACCCCUCC
RNAcentral lists this long non-coding RNA (285 nucleotides) under Hordeum vulgare. Its description in RNAcentral is "long non-coding RNA (HVUL_LNC013484)". The record is from RNAcentral. Lineage: Eukaryota; Viridiplantae; Streptophyta; Magnoliopsida; Poales; Poaceae.